This 1495-nucleotide ribosomal RNA is filed under the name metagenome. RNAcentral describes it as "bacterial LSU rRNA". It matches the Rfam family "Bacterial large subunit ribosomal RNA", at positions 1454 to 2925 of the family's 2925-position model. The record is from RNAcentral.
GACGUUAUCACUGAUGCGGUAGCGCAGGAAGCUAGCAAUGCGGAUUACAGGUUAGUCCGUCUAAGGCCGUAGGUUGGGGGGUGUGUUAAGUACCAUCCCCUAUAACCGAGAACUGAUGGCCGGGGGAAGCCUUCGGGUGGAACCCGUGAUUGUGAUGCUCUACUGCCGGGAAAACCCGCUAAGGAGUCCAACAGCGAACCGUACCGUAAACCGACACAGGUAGGCGAGGAGAGUAUCCUCAGGCGCGCGAGAGAACCCUCUCUAAGGAACUCGGCAAAAUGGACCCGUAACUUCGGGAUAAGGGUCGCCCUAGUAGAGUGUAAGGACUUGCUCCUGAAGCUCGAAUGGGCCACAGCAAAGAGGCUCUGACGACUGUUUAAUACAAACACAGGACUCUGCGAAGACGUAAGUCAAUGUAUAGGGUCUGACGCCUGCCCGGUGCUGGAAGGUUAAAGGAAAAAGUUAGGGUAGCAAUACUCGAAGCUUAGAACUGAAGCCCCAGUAAACGGCGGCCGUAACUAUAACGGUCCUAAGGUAGCGAAAUUCCUUGUCGGGUAAGUUCCGACCUGCACGAAUGGCGUAACGAGUGGAGCGCUGUCUCGGAGAGGGACUCGGUGAAAUUGCAGUGGUGGUAAAGAUGCCAUCUACCCGCGGCAGGACGGAAAGACCCCGUGGAGCUUUACUGUACUUUGACAGUGAAUUCUGACUGGACCUGUGUAGGAUAGCUGGGAGACUUGGAAGCGGGAGCGCUAGCUCUCGUGGAGUCGCCGUUGAAAUACCAGCCUGGUGCUGUUGGAGUUCUAACUCGAACCCGUUGAUCCGGGUUGAGGACAUUGUCAGACGGGCAGUUCGACUGGGGCGGUCGCCUCCCAAAAGGUAACGGAGGCACCCAAAGGUUCUCUCAGCGUGUAUGGAAAUCACGCGUCGAAUGCAAAGGUAUAAGAGAGCUUGACUGCAAGAGAAACAGCUCGAGCAGGUGGGAAACCAGGGCUUAGUGAUCCGGUGGUUCCGCAUGGAAGGGCCAUCGCUCAAUGGAUAAAAGCUACCCCGGGGAUAACAGGCUGAUCUUCUCCAAGAGUUCAUAUCGACGAGAAGGUUUGGCACCUCGAUGUCGGCUCAUCGCAUCCUGGGGCUGAAGUAUGUCCCAAGGGUCUGGCUGUUCGCCAGUUAAAGCGGUACGUGAGCUGGGUUUAGAACGUCGUGAGACAGUUCGGUCCUAAUCCGCCGUGGGCGUUGGAAGAUUGAGAGGGGCUGCUCCUAGUACGAGAGGACCGGAGUGGACGGACCUCCAGUGUGCCUGUUGUCCUACCAAGGGCAGCGCAGGGUAGCUGUGUCUGGUUAUGAUAAACGCUGAAAGUAUCUAAGCGUGAAGCAUGCCUCAAGAUAAGACUUCCUUGCAGAACCCGGGCAACCGGGUUCUGCUGAAGACCCCUGGGAGACUACCAGGUUGAUAGGCCACGAGUGUAUGCUAAGUGGUACUAAUCGGUCAAACCAA